AGAGUUUGAUCCUGGCUCAGGAUGAACGCUAGCUACAGGCUUAACACAUGCAAGUCGAGGGGAAACGACAUCGAAAGCUUGCUUUUGAUGGGCGUCGACCGGCGCACGGGUGAGUAACGCGUAUGCAACUUACCUAUCAGAGGGGGAUAGCCCGGCGAAAGUCGGAUUAAUACCCCAUAAAACAGGGGUCCCGCAUGGGAAUAUUUGUUAAAGAUUCAUCGCUGAUAGAUAGGCAUGCGUUCCAUUAGGCAGUUGGCGGGGUAACGGCCCACCAAACCGACGAUGGAUAGGGGUUCUGAGAGGAAGGUCCCCCACAUUGGUACUGAGACACGGACCAAACUCCUACGGGAGGCAGCA
RNAcentral lists this ribosomal RNA (357 nucleotides) under uncultured bacterium. RNAcentral's name for it is "bacterial SSU rRNA". It matches the Rfam family "Bacterial small subunit ribosomal RNA", at positions 8 to 353 of the family's 1533-position model. The record is from RNAcentral.